GCCGGGCAUGGUGGCACAUGCCUGUAGUGCUAGCUACUCGGGAGGCUGAGGUGGGGGCAUCUCCUGGGCCCGGAGUUCUGGGCUGUAGUGUGCCAUGCGGAUUGGGUGUCCGCACCGAGUUCGGCAUCAAUAUGGUGACCUCCUGGGAGCAGGGGACCACCAGGCUGCUUAAGGAGGGGUGAACUGGCCCAGGUUGAAAACAGAGCAGGUCAAAACUCCCAUGCUGAUCAGUAGUGAGAUCGUGCCUGUGAACAGCCACUGCAGUCCAGCCUGGGCAACAUAACAAGACCCUGUCUCU
This 298-nucleotide signal recognition particle RNA is filed under the name Saimiri boliviensis boliviensis (Bolivian squirrel monkey). RNAcentral's name for it is "Metazoan signal recognition particle RNA (ENSSBOG00000011983.1)". It matches the Rfam family "Metazoan signal recognition particle RNA". Rfam says of the family: The signal recognition particle (SRP) is a universally conserved ribonucleoprotein. It is involved in the co-translational targeting of proteins to membranes. The eukaryotic SRP consists of a 300-nucleotide 7S RNA and six proteins: SRPs 72, 68, 54, 19, 14, and 9. The record is from RNAcentral. Lineage: Eukaryota; Metazoa; Chordata; Mammalia; Primates; Cebidae.